RNAcentral lists this long non-coding RNA (1842 nucleotides) under Capsicum annuum. Its description in RNAcentral is "long non-coding RNA (CANN_LNC006477)". Lineage: Eukaryota; Viridiplantae; Streptophyta; Magnoliopsida; Solanales; Solanaceae. The record is from RNAcentral.
UCGACAUAUGAUCACUUCACAUUAUUUUUUUGGCCUAAGAAAUCAUGAUAUUAAACUUAAAUAUCGAUAAAUGUUUAUACUUUAGAAUGCGUCUAAAUACAACAAAAAGAAAUAUACUUUGGACAUGAUAAAAUCAUAUAGAGAAAAUGGUCAAAUACUCACUCAACCUUUAUCCCAAAUCUCAACUACACACUUAUACUUUGAGAGGGUCCUAUGACCCCCCUGAACUAUUUUAAAAUAAAAUUAUUACCUCCUGAACUAUUUUAAAGUGGAAUAUAUACCCCCUCUAAAAACUCAUACCCAGAUUUUAUUUUGAUUUGUAGUUUACACGCGUUGUCAUGUGUCAUCCCACAUAAUUUCACGUCAUAUAUUAUUUUUUUACUAUAAAAAAUUAAUUCCACAUCAUCAUUAUUAUCUUCUUCUUCUUCUUCUUCUUCUUCUUCUUCUUCUUCUUCUUCUUCUUCUUCUUCUUCUUCUUCUUCCUCUUCUUCUUCUUCUAUUCUUCUUCUUCAAUGGCAUAAUGAAUCAUAUGGAAUUCACACGAUAUGUAAUCUUUUCAAAAUUAAAUCAACAAUUAAUGUCCAAAAAGUAUUCGAUUUUCACAAAAUGACGUCGCGAUAGUGAUGGCGCCGAAAAAUUCAAAAUUUUGGUGACUUUAUUUUUCAAUCUGAAUUGAUUCAACAUUCUCACGUAAUUCGAGUUCUUGGAUGCCACUGAAGAAGAAGAAGAAAAAAAAGGUCAUUGAUGAGUUCUUAGAUGCCAUUGAAGAAGAAAAAAAAAUUAAUUGUCAUUGAUGGGUUCUUGGAUACCAUUGAAGAAGAAGAAGAAGAAGAAGAAGAAGAAGAAGAAGAAGAAGAAGAAUUGAAGANNNNNNNNNNNNNNNNNNNNNNNNNNNNNNNNNNNNNNNNNNNNNNNNNNNNNNNNNNNNNNNNNNNNGAAGAAGAAGAAGAAGAAGAAAAAAAAAUUAAUUGUCAUUGAUGGGUUCUUAGAUGCCAUUGAAGAAGAAGAAGAAGAAGAAGAAAAAUUAAUUGCCAUUGAUGGGUUCUUGGAUGCCAUUGAAGAAGAAGAAGAAGAAGAAAAAAAAAAUUGUCAUUCUUGGAUGCCAUUCAAGAAGAAGAAGAAUUGGAGAAGAAGAAGAAGAAGAAGAAAGAAAAAUAAUAAUUAAAAUUAUAUAUAUUUAUUUAAAGAAUAUUAAAAAUAAAUUUUUAAUAAAAUAUUUUCGUUCUCACUCUCUUUAAAGAGAGUGAAACACACUCUUUUGCCAUGUCAGCAUUGUAGGGGUAAUAAUUUCAUUGUAAAAUAGUUCAGGGGGGUCAUAGGACCUUCUCAAAAUAUAAGUGUGUAGUUGGGAUUUGAAGUAAAGGUUGGAGAUAUUUGCCAAUCAUAUAUAUAGUUUUUAGAUUCUAUCUAAACUAAAAUAAGAAUUGACAUUCACAUUUUUCCAAACUUAUACGAAACAUAAACAUAAAGUACAAGAGUAGAUCAUGAUAAUAUCAUAUAUAAAGUUUUUAGAUUCCAUCAAAACUAAAAUAAGAACGUACAUUCAUCUUUCCAAACUUAUAUGAAAUAUAAACGUAAAGUAUGAGAAUAGAACAUGAAUUUGUGUAAUGAAACAAAUAAAAUAAUAGCAAGAAUGCCUUCACCAAAACCGAAACAGAAACCAAAGUUGAAACUCCAACCCACCAACUUUUAAAAAUAUUUAUUUUUUUUCCUUCUUUUUGCUCUUUGUUUUUUUUUUUUUAAAUUGUUUGAAGUCUCUUUUCUCUUGUCCAUGUUUUUAUUUUUGAUGUUGUUCCAUGUUGUCCUUUUUUUUUUUGGUUUUUGUCCGUGUCCUCCUUUUCC